CCUGGUCGAUCCUGCCAGUAACAUAUGCUUGUCUUAAAGACUAAGCCAUGCAUGUCUAAGUAUAAACCAAUUUAUACGGUGAAACUGCGAAUGGCUCAUUAAAUCAGUUAUAGUUUAUUUGAUAAUACCUACUACUUGGAUAACCGUAGUAAUUCUAGAGCUAAUACAUGCUAAAAGGGGAAACUCUCGUGGAAUCCCCGCAUUUAUUAGAUAAAAAACCAAUGCAGGGGGUUCACGCCUCCUGGUUCAUUGAUGAUUCAUAAUAACUGAGCGAAUCGCAUGGCCUUGUGCCGGCGAUGAUUCAUUCAAAUUUCUGCCCUAUCAACUUUCGAUGGUAGUGUAGUGGACUACCAUGGUGAUAACGGGUGACGGGGAAUUAGGGUUCGGUUCCGGAGAGGGAGCCUGAGAGAUGGCUACCACUUCCAAGGAAGGCAGCAGGCGCGCAACUUACCCAAUCCCGACACGGGGAGGUAGUGACAAUAAAUAACAAUACGGGUCUUGACAAAAGUCUCGUAAUUGGAAUGAGUACAAUUUAAACCCCUUAACGAGGAACAAUUGGAGGGCAAGUCUGGUGCCAGCAGCCGCGGUAAUUCCAGCUCCAAUAGCGUAUAUUAAAGUUGUUGCAGUUAAAAAGCUCGUAGUCGGACUUCAGGGAGGUAGGAAUUCGGUCUGCCGAGAUGGUGUGUACUAGUUCCUUCCCCCUUCCUUCCAGUAUGCCACCUUCUGCUCUUAAGUGAGUGGGAGGGUAUUUUUCAUUCGUGGAAAAACAGUGGUGGUUUCGGCCAUCAUUGGAGGCUCUGGAUCGUUUACUUUGAAAAAAUUAGGGUGUUUAAAGCAGGCCCUUUGUGCCUUGAAUACAUUAGCAUGGGAUAAUAGAAUAGGACCGAUCUCCUAUUUUGUUGGUUUCUAGGGGAUUCAGUAAUGAUUAAUGGAGAUGGUUGGGGCGAUUCAUAUUUAAUUGUCAGAGGUGAAAUUCUUGGAUUUAUGAAAGAUGAACUGGUGCGAAAGCGUCUCGCAAGGACGUUCUCAUCGAUCAAGAACGAAAGUUAAGGGAUCGAAGACGAUCAGAUACCGUCGUAGUCUUAACCAUAAACGAUGCCGACCAGGGAUUGGGAGACGUUACAUGGAUGACUCCCCCAGCACCUUGCGAGAAAUCACAAGUCUUUGGGUUCCGGGGGGAGUAUGGUCGCAAGGCUGAAACUUAAAGGAAUUGACGGAAGGGCACCACCAGGAGUGGAGCCUGCGGCUUAAUUUGACCCAACACGGGAAAACUUACCAGGUCCAGACAUAGUAAGGAUUGACAGAUUGAGAGCUCUUUCUUGAUUCUAUGGGUGGUGGUGCAUGGCCGUUCUUAGUUGGUGGAGUGAUUUGUCUGGUUAAUUCCGAUAACGAACGAGACCUCAGCCUACUAAAUAGUUACUUGAACCUUCUAUAUAGGUGAAGCAGGCCGAAGUUGUGAGGUGGU
Molecule: ribosomal RNA, 1465 nt
Filed under: metagenome
Description: SSU rRNA
Rfam family: Eukaryotic small subunit ribosomal RNA
Source: RNAcentral